CGGAAUAUGCUUGAAAGGUACCCUUCCCCAGGAAGCCCAUAUAUAGUAAGGUCUUCUCAUUCAGAAGGGGAUACACAAAAAAUUGAUCAGUAUUUUUACUAAAAAGCACCAUUCUCUGUAGAAAAAACUCCUCUCUUUUUUGAAUUUCAGACUUAAGGAAAAUCUUAGAAAACCCUUCAAAAAAGGAACUUCUCCUUCUAUUAACAAGUUGAAAAUGAGUUAAAGAGAAGAACUUUCUUAUGAUUUUGUUGGAACUUUUGGUUUUCAAGUAGUGUUUUGGUUUUUAAAUUCUGGGGUUUCUUUGGUUUUGCUGAAGCUGUUUGGUUACUGCUGCUAUUUUCUGCUCCUGAACUUCUUCCAACAGUCUUACCUUCAUUGCAGUUGUCAUUUAAUUAUUGUGUCAAGGUACAUGAGUCUUUCCUUGUUUGACUACCAUGUAAUUCAAAAUAGUGAUGAAUAUGAGUUGCUUGUGUUUGACACUGUUUGUAUAUAUUUUCUAUGGCUUAUAUGCUGAAUAGUGGUGCAGAAGCUUUUCCUUUAUCUCUAAAAAUGCAUGAAUCUCUUUAUUUCUAGUGUUAUGUCAUAGGGCUCUGUUUUCUUUGAUAGACAUUGGCAUUGACUAUCUUAUGCUAGUAUGCAUUUCUGUUUAUUUUGCAUUAGUUAAAUAAAAGGCUUAGACCCAUUCCCCCUCCUUAACACCUUUUCUUUCCAUUGGGUCUGACCCUUACAUGGUCGGGUUCAUGGAUUGAAUUUUUUCCUUUCUCUUCCUUUUGAGUCUGUUCUAGUAUUACAUCAGGGCGGUAUGACAUAAUUUGGGGGUUUGAAACCUAUAUUGGUUCAUGAGUUUAACCUUUAACAUGGUUAAACCCAUGAAUCAUAAUUGAUCAUUGCGUGUGUGUUUAUGUAUGGGUCUGACAAAUGUAUUAAAUUGGUACAACUAAAGGUAUUUCUGUGGAUCUUACCUCUUCACAUGACCAGAUUCACGAAAUCCUUAAUAGAAUAAGGCUAAUUUGGACAAGCAAGAAGCUUCAUCUGUGGUAUUUAAAAUGUCAGCUUGUAAGAAGCAGCUCUUUAGCUAAUCUUUUGCAAGCUAGUACCUUGGGAAGAAUCUGAUAACAAAAAUUCAGGACUAGAAGACAUUCUUCUUUUAUUUCUUUAGAUUUUCUUUCUUUCUUAUUAGAUAAUAGUUGUAAAGUAUCGGUAGGACAAUGUUUAUUAGUUUUGAAACCUUUCUUGUAUAAAGUUUUUGACUGACAAUUUUGUAAGAAGAUUGUUAAUUUUUAAUUUAAGUUUAAUUAUUAAUAUACUUCCAACAGUAGAUUUCUCUUUUGUAAUGAACAUGUUUAGGAUUGCAUGUAAUUGUAAACUGGGUUGCACUUGAAAAGAAAGCCCAAGUCUUGGGCUCAUUUGAAGCAGAGUCUAACCUGGACCAUUGGCCUGGGUAGUUGGACUUCAUAGCUUGAACCUGAAACAUGUUGUUUAUUUUUCACUGAUUACCUAUACAUAUCUAAUUUACCUUGCAAAUUAAUGCAAUAGAAUUAAUUUUUAUACUAGCCUUGAGCUUUGAAUUUUCUUUUAAGAAUGACUUUAUUUUAUAUGUUCCUCACUAAUAUGUAUACAUUGUGUAAAAGGUAGAUAUGCCCAAAUUAUAAAACAUGGCCAUCUGGGCCCGCCUAAAUUUGAACCCAAUGUGGGCUACCUAAUUUCUGACGACCGGGCUAGUUGUCUCAUGAAUUACCAUUCUGUUUCCUCUAUUUCUACUUCUUUAUGAUUUUUUUUAUCCGUUUUUAUGUGGUCUAUUUGAUUGGUUUGCGUUUGCAGUGGAUUUAGUAAGAAAUGAGACACUUAGUCUCUUUUAUGAAGGUUUAAGUUGAAAACGUCAACUGGAUGUUGACUUAUGAGUUAGAGAGCUCAGAUAUAAAUUCUGAUGAUUCGAUUAGCUUCGGGAGGUGAUUUAUAAAUUAGGAGUGUGAUCGGAAUUGGUUUUGAAAGUCCGGUGUAGAAUUAGGCUUGAAUUGGCGAAGUUAGUAUUUUGGCGAUGUUUGGUUGGUAGGUAAGAUAUUGAUCUGGGGGUCAAAAUAGAAUUCCAAGAGUUUAUGUAGCUUCUUAAUAUCAUUUGGAUGUGUAUAAAAAUUUUUAGGUCAUUCGAACGUGGUUUGGUUGGGUUUUUGCUUGGAAGCGUAUUUCAGAUGUUUUAGAAAAACUUAGGGUUGAAUUCGAUGUGAAUUGAUGGAUUUGGUGUUAUUGAGGUAUUUUGAUGAUUGUAACAAGUUUGAACGAGGUUUUAGGAGGUGUUGGUGCUUUUGAUUGAGGUCCCAGAGGCCUCGGGUGAGUUUCUAUGUUGAAAAGUUGGAGAAAUUGAUCACAGCUGUUGCAGUGAUUUUUGCCCUUCGCGAUCACGUGGGCUUAGUUGUGAUCACGUAGAAGGAUUCUAGGGUGAUCUGAGGUUGUAAUUCACGUUCGCGGAGGAUGGCUCGCAUUCGCGUAAGGUUGCAAGCCUUUGCUUCGCGUUCGCGGAAGCCUGCUCGCGUUCGCGUAUAAGGAGUUGGGGAUCAAUGGUAGGUGUUCUUCGCGUUUGCAUAUGAUGGAACGUGUUCGCGUAGGUAUGAGGGUCUAAAGCAUCACAUUCGCGGGAUGUGUGUCACAGCGAAGGGUUAUUUUGUUCAAGUUAAAAUUGUGCAUGGCGAAUGCGAGGGUUUGACCGCGUUCGCGAAGAAGGAAUACCAGAACUGGGCAAAAAAGUUUAUUAAACAUUUUAUCCGCGAUUGUGAUCCAUUCUUCCACCAUAGUUGAGUAUUUUGAGAGCUCUUUGAGGUAAAUUGAAGAGGAAUUCAAGGAGAUAUGUUUUAUGAAUUAAAAAUGUGAUUCUAUUGUGAAAUUAACCUAGAAAUUCAUGGAACCUAAGCUAAAAAGGAAGAACUAGGGCUUGGAAUUUUUAACUUUUGAACUGCGAUUUGAAGGACCAUUUGAGGUCAAAUUUGAGAACUUUUGAUAUGUAUGAACUCGUGAAAGGAUAAGGAACAUGUUGAUGUGAUAAUUUCUGAGUUUUGAGAAGUGGGCCCGAGGCUCGGGUUUUGCUAAUUUCAGGAUUUUUGAUAUUUUUUGAUUAUUUUCAGUUGGGUUUUGUUCCCUUAGCAUAUUGUGAUAUAUUCGUUCUGAUUUUUGAUAGAUUCGACGCUUGUGGAGGCCUAUUCGUGGGCAAAGGCAUCGCAAGCUAGAGUCGUAGCCGGGAUGUAAAGGAUGUCCUGAGGGUUUGAAACCCAGGAUUUGCACAUCGUAGUGCUAUAUUGAGGUGGGACACGCGCUUGAUGAUGAGCGUGGAGUCGUUUACUAUUGGAGAUUAUGAAUUGUCCGUCCCGAUUGAUUCUUUUACUGCGUAUUUGAUUGAAACUUAUUUGUUUUCAUCAUUAUUUGGACUGAAUGUCAUAUUUGGGCUUCGAGCCAACUAGUUGAACCCUCCAGGGAUUUUUAUCACCAUUUCCCCAUUGUUUUGACCUACUACUUGAACUCAAUCAUACUGUUUUCUAGUGUUUUACAACUCAUCUACUUUUACUCGGCUUUGAAACUAAAAUGAUAUAUUAAAUAAUUUUCUAGGCUGAGAACUACUAUUUUACUAAUGUCUGAUGGGUUUAUGUGAUUUUUGGACUGAGUAUGGCCGAGAGCCAGAUGUGAGGAUACUAUGGUAUCGGGCUGCGCAUUGCAGCAGUGUCAUACUGAUACUGAUAUGAGGCCGAGGUCCUAGUUCUUGAUGCCACGAGAUGGCUUGAUAUGUACUUGGUCCGUAAAGGGGACCCUCCCGGAGUCUGCACACCCCCAGUGAGCGUCGUCGAUAAAAUAUAUUGAUCGGGCUGCACGCCGCAGCAGUUACUGUAUAGUACCAUUCUAUGUUUUGACUUACUUCGACUAUCUAUCACUUAACUGCUUAUCUGUUGUAGAAUUAUCACAUUUCGUAUUUUAUUGGUUUAUUUCUUUCAUAUUACUUGUUUAUCUGCCGCAUUAUAGAUUACUCUGUAUUUUCUGUGAUUUCUUAUUCUCAGUCAUUAUUUAUGCUUAUUACUCACUGGGUCAGAGUACACACAUUACUCCCUACACCUUGCGUGCAGAUCCAGAACAAGAGGCUAAGUGAGGAUUUUCAGUCGACCAACACAUGUCCGGGGUUAUCGAGGUAGCUACACGCGUCCGCAACCCUGAUCUCCCUUAUAUCCUUUUGUUUUAUCCGCAUUUGCCAAACUGAUUAUGUAUUAGGCUGUUAAACUUGUAUAAGAGGCUCGAGACUUGUGACACUGGAUCUUUAUGGGUUAUGUAGUAGUAUUAUCAUUUGAAUUUCCG
Molecule: long non-coding RNA, 4329 nt
Filed under: Nicotiana benthamiana
Lineage: Eukaryota; Viridiplantae; Streptophyta; Magnoliopsida; Solanales; Solanaceae
Description: long non-coding RNA (NBEN_LNC009560)
Source: RNAcentral